GGAAAUUUGAUAUCUUGGAGAAAAUGAUUGAGAGGUUUAUAAUAAAUAACCCACCUCUUUUUUCCUCGAAGUCUUUCUGACCCUUUCUCUACGUAGAAAGCUUGACAGGCUCAAGGUGAGCUCGUAGGCUCAAUUAAGCUUUGUUGUAAGAGUUGCUUACAUUUUUCUUGGGCUAGGAGGAGGUCAGUAGGAUUCAUAUCCGGAUGGGUUGCUUUAGUUGGGUUUACUUCUUCAUUAAGUUUGAAAGGAAGAUGAACAUAGAAUGCUGUAUGUUUCCAU
This 279-nucleotide unclassified non-coding RNA is filed under the name Hevea brasiliensis (rubber tree). The record is from RNAcentral. Lineage: Eukaryota; Viridiplantae; Streptophyta; Magnoliopsida; Malpighiales; Euphorbiaceae.